RNAcentral lists this long non-coding RNA (7012 nucleotides) under Sus scrofa (pig). RNAcentral describes it as "lncRNA (ENSSSCG00060026004.1)". Lineage: Eukaryota; Metazoa; Chordata; Mammalia; Artiodactyla; Suidae. The record is from RNAcentral.
GCUAGGGGCUGAAUCAGAGCUGCAAGCUGCUGGCCCAUGCCACAGCCACAGCAAUGCGGGAUCCCAGCCGUGUCUGUGACCUGCACCUAAGCUUGUGGCAGUGCUGAGUGAGGCCAGGGAUCAAACUCUCAUCCUCACAGAAAUCACAUCGGGUCCUUAACCCACUGAGCCACAUAGGAAAUCCGAGAGUCCUUUUUGUGUAGAUUUGUUGCCAUUGGCAUCAUGCCUAUGAGAGGCGGUUUGGGACACACUGUGCAGUGCAGGUGGACCUUAGAAUUACUUUAGGUUUGGUUCCAGACCACCGCCUAAAGUGAAUGUUGUGGUAAAGUGAGUCACAUGAACUGUCUGGUUUCCCAGGGCAUAUAAAAUUCAUGUUUACAUUGUAUUAUAGUCUAUUAAGUGUGCAGUAGCUUUAAGUCUAAGAUAACAAUGCACACCCUUAAUUUUAAAAUGCUUUACUGUUAGAAAAUGCUAACCAUUAUUUAAGCCUUCAGUGAGUCUUAAUCUUUUUACAGUAGUAACAUUAAAGAUCACUGAUCACAGAUCAUCCUAACAAAUAUAAUAAUAACGGAAAAUUUUCAGCUAUAGUGAGAAUUACCAAAGUGUGACACAGACAUGGUAUGAGCACAUGCUAUGGGAAAACAGCACUGACAGACUUGCUCUGCACAGGGUUGCCACAGACUUUCAGUCUGUGAGAAACAGUUUUGUUUUUUUGUCUUUUUGCCUUUUUUGCCUUUUCUAGGGCUACUUCCCACAGCAUAUGGAGGUUCCCAGGCUAGGGGUCGAAUCGGAGCUGUAGCCACCAGCCUACACCACAGCCACAGCAAUGCCAGAUCCGAGCUGCGUCUGUGACUUACACCACAGCUCACGGCAACACCGGAUCCUUAACCCACUGAGCGAGGCCAGGGACCGAACUCGCAACUUCAUGAUUCCUAGUCGGAUUCGUUAACCACUGCGCCACAAUGGGAACUCCGAGAAACAGUUUCUACAGAGCUCACUCAAGUGGCAUGUGCCUGUGUCCUACUACUGCUGUGUCUGGUUUAAGAGUCUGGAACUAGUCCUGGAUCUGUCACUGAUUGAGUAACUAACUCGUUCUUUUGUUGCUGUUAAGAAUCUAGGGGGUUGUUUUUCAGACUGAGCAUUUGAAGUGAAAGCUUAAAUCAACUGAAGGUUACAUAUUUUUUAAACUAAAGUAUUAUGUGCAGAUUAUGCCUCCUUAUUCCAAAGUUCUUUGGAAAAGUCAGUGAUUUUUCUGCCCUAGCUGGCUUUUUUAAUCCCCUCAGGAGCCUAUUAAAAAUUAUUUGCCCAGACCAUUGGGUGGGACCUAGUUGGCAAUGCUUAAACACACACACAUUCUCCCUCUCUCUCCCCCUACUCUCCCCCCCACACACACACACUGGGUGAUACUGGUAUGCUGUCAGAAUUGAAAGGACUGCUUUUAGGCAUGUUAAGGAUCUGGUGUUGUCACUGCAGCAGCUCAGGUCACUGCUGUGGCCAGGGGGGGAAAAAGCCUUGAUUUUAGGCCUAUGUUACCCAAACUUGCCUGAGACAGAUCUCCAGGUCCUUGUUUGAUUACAGAUUUCCUGACUUCUUCCCCUAGAAAUUCAGGGACAGGUGGCCUGGGGUGGAGAACACUGCCUAAGGCAGUGUCUGAACUUCCAGGUCCUCUGCCUAUGAGAUGAAUAUGUUCCUUUGUGGAAAAAUAGGUAUUCUUGGCUGUGAGGAAGGCUUGCAUUAUUGUCAGCCUGUCCUAACUACCUCAUCACUAAAAAAAAAAAAAAAACCACACAUUUCUGUCUCUCUUGUUGGGUUUUCUUACUGAAAAAUACCUCUGGAGGAGCAUACUUUGAGGUAGAUUUUGGUUUGAUGGAACAUUGGUCCUUUUUCUGCUUCGGGUUUUGAACUUUGAAGCAGUGACUGGCCGACUGCGGUGUAUGUCUGCUCGAAGCCAGUGGCUUCCUCUGGCUGUGAUUUUCUUGGACUGAACACCAAGCACUAAAUGGAGAGACACCCAGGACAGCUGAGAUAUUUUUGGGCAGUGGGGUGAUCUUAUUGCUGACACUUCUUUUAGGAGGAGAGUAUUUGUUUCCAUCCUUCUGUAAGGAAAGAAAUAAUAACACUGGGCUCUACCAGCUGAACCACAGCUCACAAGCAGCUUUUCUACAUCUGUACCCUUGUGUUUUUGCCCCAGGAGAAAGCACAUGGUCAAAUGAGUGAUGCUGGGGAGUGAGUAGGGACAGGGCAGGGCCUUGUUCCCCUGAGACAGGCGGGUUUCUUCCUAGUUGACUGAAACUGUGGUUUUUCUCCAAUUUCAGAGUUGGUAAGACUUCACUCAUGAACCAGUAUGUGAACAAGAAGUUCAGUAAUCAGUACAAAGCGACAAUAGGAGCAGACUUCCUGACGAAGGAGGUGAUGGUGGAUGACAGACUAGUCACAAUGCAGGUAAGCGCUGGUCUCAGCUUGGCCGGCUGUGCCCAGGUCCUGUAGCCUUGACCCUUUCUCCUGUGCCUGCCUGUUCCCUUCUCUAUUCUUUAGUCAUGGGUAAUUGGCUUAGAGGUAGGGUUGCCAAAUAAAAUAUAAGAAAGAUACCAAGUUAGUCCCCAAAUUUGCAUGAGACAUAGUAAAAUUUUUUCGUUGUUUUUUCCAAAGUUCAGAUUUGUCUGGUCUUUCUGUUUUUUGUUGUUGUUUUGGUUUUCUGUUGUUGUUUUGUGCUAAGUGGCAUCCUGCAGAUUCCUGUCUUAUGUCUCCAAAAAAAAUGCCUAACUCAUCUCUUUCUUAAUAUCCUUGCCUCAUGCUUUAGGCCAAAAAAAUCUUUGUGUCUUUCCUGGGUUCUUACAGCACUCAUUAAAGUAGUUUUCCAACUUUUCUGGUUUCUUAUAAGCUGUCCUAUCUAUAUCCCCCAAAGUUGUGUUAAGCCAAUCUGGUUUUUUCAUAUAUUGGCUUAAUUUGCUUUCAAGGGCCUCCCUUUCAACAGUUAGGAUAAAAACAGAUUCCUUCACAUGGCUCUUUGAAAGCCUUCACAUUCUGGCCACAAAUUCUUCACUUUUUCAUCUCAUCCCAGUCCUUCCCUGUCAUGUGCUGCUCUUACAAAGCUGUCUGUGCGGCUCAGCUUCCAGCAAGGCCCUCUUUUCACAUCUAUACUCAUCCCAGAGUCUCCAACGUUCAGACCAGAUUUUGUUUUGGGAGCUCCUAUCUCCACAGCAGUGUUGCCUCCUUUCUGUGCUGAGAAAAGUGGGUUCUUCUCCAUUGGUGUCGUGGCAAGCCCCAGGCUGGCCAAAAUGUUUGAUUGGCACAGGUCACAGGUGCAAGUUUUUACAUGUGUUGACCUUGAGCUAUGUCAUGCUCUCAGAGAAUGAGGCUUCUUGAUACCUAACCUUACUCCUGUAGGAUGGAGCUGAGGCAGGUCUCCCCGACCCCCCAUUCCCAGUGGUAUUCACUCCUUAACUGGGGGUGGGCAAAAAUAGGUCAAGGGGACUAAGAGGUACAAACAUCCAGUUAUAAAAUGUGCAGUAUAGGGGCUAUAGCCAAUAGUAUUGUAAUAACUUUGUGUCGUUUUAAAAAAAAAUGUUUUCGGGAGUUCCCAUUGAGGCUCAGCAGUAAUGAAUCUGACUGGUAUCCAUAAGAUGUGGGUUUGAUCCCUGGUACUGCUCAGUGGCUUAGAGAUCUGAUGUUGCCACAAGCUGUGGUGUAGGUUGCAGGCAUGGCUUGGAUCUGGCUUUGCUGUGGCAGUGGCGUAGACUGACAUCUGAAGCUCCAAUUGUACCCUUAGCCUGGGAGGUUCCAUAUGCCACAGGUGCAACCCUAAAAAGGGGGAAAAUAUUUUUUUUUUCAACUUAAUUUACAGUGUUGUUAGUUUCAGGUGUACAGCAGAGUGAUUCAGUUACACUUAUACAUAUAUCCAUUCCUUUUCAGAUUCUUUUCCCAUAUAGAUUUUUACAAGUUACUGAGUUUGCUGUGCUAUACAGUAGAUCCUUGUAGAUUAUCUAUUUUGUUUUGUAAAUAGGUUCAUUUGUGUCAUUUUUUUAGAUUCCACAUAUAAGUGAUAUCAUAUGAUAUUUGUCAUUCCCUUUCUGACUUACUUCACUUAGUAUGAUAAUCUCCAGGUCCAUCCAUGUUGCUGUGAAUGGCAUUAUUGCCUUCUUUUUCAUGGCUACAUCAUGUAUAUGUACAUCGUGUAUUACAUUGUGUAUAUAUAUCAUAUCUUUUCUAUCCAUGGCUCUAUUGAUGGACAUUUAGGUUGUUUCCAUGUCUUGGCUAUUGUGAAUAGUGCUGCAGUGAACACAGGAGUGCAUGGAUCUUUCCAGUUACAGUUUUCUCUAGAUACAGGCCCAGGAGUGGGAUUGCUAGAUCAUAUGGCAAUUCUGUGUUUAGUUCCCAUUAUGGCUCAGUGGUAAUGAACCCGACUAGCAUCCAAGAGGAUUCUGGUUCCAUCCCUGGCCUCUUUCAGUGGGUUAAGGAUCUGGCAUUGCUGUGAGCUGUGGUGUAGGUUGCAGACACAGCUCAAAUCCUGUGUUGCUGUGGCUCUGGCGUAGGCUGGCGGCUACAGCUCCAAUUUGACCCCUAGGCUGGGAACCUCCAUAUGCCUCGAGUGUGGCCCUAAAAAGAAAAAAAUCUUGAUACAUAUCUGAUUAGUAAAAUAUUCUAAAGUCAUCUAUAUUUUAGUAAUCUGUGUGUGUGUAACUAAAGUUUAAAUAAGCCAAGUUUGAAAGAAGGAAAUUUGUAGAUAAUAGGAAAGGAGAGAGACCUGAAUGCCAGUGAUAAGCUCAGGCCCCUGCCUUGGUGAUUUGUGGAUUUAAAACAGGGGCUAAGAGGUACUGUUGUAGCGCAGUGGAAACGAAUCUGACUAGGAACCAUGAGGUUGCAGGUUCAAUCCCUGGCCUCACUCAGUGGGUUAAGGAUCUGGUGUUGUGAGCUGUGGUGUAAGUUCCAGAAGCAUCUCGGAUCCUGCGUUGCUGUGGCGUAGGCUGUCAGCUACAGCUCCAAUUAGACCCCUAGCCUGGGAACCUCCAUAUGCUGUGGGUGUGGCUCUAAAACAUAAAUAAAUGAAUAAAUAAAUAAAACAGGAGCUAGAGGGAGUUCCCAUUGUGGCUCAGUGGUAACAAACUCAACUAGUAUCCAUAAGGACGCGAGUUUGAUCCCUGGCCUUGUUCAGUGGGUUAAGGAUCUGACAUUUCUGUGAGCCAUGGUCGCAAAUGUGGCUUGGAUCCCACGUUGCUGUGGCUGUGGUGGAGGCCAGCAGCUAUAGGUCACAUUCAACCCCUAGCCUGGGAUCUUCCAUAUGCCUCAGGUGUGGGCCUAAAAAGACAACAAACAAACAAACAAAGUGGCCUAGAGCGCUGUCAACCAUCAUGAACAAGAGAUGUGAACAGCCCGAGUUGGUGGGGGUGGGUGGUAGAACUGCAAGCCCCCUGGAUGUCAAGACACAUAGUCACCUGGGAGCCUGAAGUAUGACUAAAACCUUAGCCUGAGUAAGUGGCCAAGCUGGUGUGUGAAGUACCGGCUUUGCCGCUUGGUCUCCUGCUUGGAGACUGUGGGUCCCACCGUGCUUGUAUGUGGGCUCCCGCAUUAUACUCUGUAUGUCAUAGGCCUCUGCCAUCCUGGCAGAAAUAAAGAGAAGGCCACUCUGUAGAGAGCUGUACAGCUUCUGGGUAGAGGAUGAGCUCAUAGGCACAUGAGGAAAUAAUGUACUGCAGAAAAUGUUCAUGAUGACUAGCGAUCUCUUCAAAAGGAAUGGAAACUGUAAUGGAAAGGGACACUGUGAAAAAUGAGGAUAUGGAACACUUAGAACUUUUAGGAAGUGAAAAAAGUCAUUGAAAUAAACCAAAGAGUGAAACGGCAGAUUAGACACAGCUGAAGAAAACAGUAAAUUUCAACAUUAAGAGCUGAGCCAAUUACCACAAAGAAAACUCAAAAUUAUGGAGCACCAGAAAUCAGAAUCCUAAGGCAAGUGGAGAGCAAAGACAGAUAAAGGGACAGCAGUCAGACAGAUGAGUUCUCGGCAGCGACAGAAAGCUGAGGGGAUUGGGGUAUGUCUUUGGUGCUGGGUCGAAUGUGGCCUGGAUGGCACGAGUUCUUCCCCCACCCCCCACCCCUGCUGGACAGAGCUACUUCCUGUAGCAGGAGAGCCAGGUGGACCACGGUGGGCUUCUGGUAGCCACGUGGGCAGAGGUAGAAGCGAGACCUGGCCCCGUCUGGCACGGGGCCUUGCUUCUAAAAGACCCCACAUGUACUUCAGGCUGGGACCUCUGGGGAGCCCACGGUGCCAAGCGCAGUCUGGAAAGGGUAUGAAAGACCGUGGUCCUCAGGUUGGAAAGGCUGCCUCUCUCCUUCCACGGCCAGUUUAAAAGACUCAAGUUACAGGAAAACCAUCAUCGCUGACAAAGGCAUCAUCAUCCUAGAUCGUGAGGAAUCCUCACCUGUGUUUCACAGGCUUUUAGCAGCUUGCAAGUAAAAGAUAAUUCAAGUCAGACAGCAAGGCAGGAACCAGUGCAAACCUCCCUGGCAAUUCAGAGUGGGUUUUGUAUUUAAAGAAAUAAAGCAGUCUUAUGUAUCUGCAGAGACAAAACUAAGCAGGUGGCGUGGGUCAGUAGAACUUCUAAAAAUGAAAUGCCCUGACCAGCACUUGUAAAUUUAGAGAAUGUUUUUAGCAGCAGUUGGGCUGCACCAAAAGAGGGCUGAAAGGAGGAGAAUGUUGGGAAAUGGAAAAGAGGCAGAAAGAGGAACUACAUUGCCUCAGUCUCAGACAGGUGGAUAGAUCAAAAAUAAUAUUUGCUGAAAAUUUUCCAGAAUUGAUGUGGCACCAAUCCAUAGAUUCAGGAAGCCCAAAUCCCAAGAAAAAUAAAGAAGUCUAGAAAAAUCAAGAUGAAAUUUUUUUUAAAGAGACAAACUUGGGAAUUCCCUUCAUGGCUCAGUGGUUAACGAACACGACUAGGUAGAAUCUAUGAGGUUGUGGGUUUGAUCCCUGGCCUCCUCAUUCAGUGGGUUGAGGAUCUGAUGUUGCCGUGAGCUGUGG